This 22-nucleotide unclassified non-coding RNA is filed under the name Mus musculus (house mouse). Its description in RNAcentral is "oocyte_clustered_small_RNA4751". The record is from RNAcentral. Lineage: Eukaryota; Metazoa; Chordata; Mammalia; Rodentia; Muridae.
UAGUAGGAUAAUGUUCCACGGU